Long non-coding RNA from Topomyia yanbarensis, 1185 nucleotides. RefSeq lists it as uncharacterized. The record is from RefSeq and is a predicted model, not a curated record. Lineage: Eukaryota; Metazoa; Arthropoda; Insecta; Diptera; Culicidae. The transcript is spliced from 3 exons.
ACACUGCUAUACAUGCAUGACACCAUUUUCGUUAAUCAUUGCAACGAAGGUUCGUGAUUAUCUCUGGAUUAAAAAUCAGCAAAGAGCGCCGCAGUUAGUUCCAAGGCACUGUAGAAGUAACAUCAAUAAAAACGAAGAUAUCUUCACCGAUGAACCAAGCUAACACACGCUAAUUAGUGACACACCACCAAAAAACUGGAACGAUUAGCAGCCAAGCAUUGUGCGUCUUUCCAACAUCCAGAUUGCAUUUAUACUGUUAACAUAAGUCACUCGUCAUCGUGUUCUUAAAAGCCGUCAGCCAAUUAAAUUUGUAGUGCUCGCUUAAAAAAAUCGAUCGAGGAUGAUCUUCCAAGGAUUAGCAUUGUUUGUUUUGUUAGUAGCAGUAUCAACUGCUCCUGCAGAUAUUGGUGGAAGUGAGAAUCUGGAGUCGGCUCCAGAUGUGCAUUCUAGUUCCAGCACGAAAGUUGGAGUAUCCAUCAAGAUCCAAGAUGAAGACGACAGCGAUCGCGUGUGGCCACUGUUUGACGAAGCUGAACCCGAACCUGUUGAGGGGGAAAGAUUCCGCCGGCAAGCACCAGCUAGGAAUACAACAAGACGUAGUCAGAGGGACCCUUAUGAUUAUAUACUUACUUUAAGUGAUGUUACGUACUAAGGGUCUUCUAGAAUCAGGCCACUGCUAGGCGGUUUUCCUAUCCAACAUCUGCCUUUGUAAAAAUCGAAACAACCUAAUGUAAAAGAAUUGACUGUUAUAGAAUUUAUCUUAUUAGUAAAUAGUUAUGUUUUUCCUGUGUUUUUUGGUAGAUUUGUAUAUUUAAGUGUUUACAAAAAAUGUAUGAUGUAAACUGAUUAAAAAUAAGUAAACUCGCGAUAACAGGGAAAACAACUAUCAUAGUUUAUAUAAACAAAAGAAAGAGUGGGAGUUGUGAUUCGGGUUCCAAAUACCAUGAAUUGUGUUUGUGUUGGAGCUGUACUAAACCUUCCAAUACAACCAUUGGCUGGGAAAAACGAUUUGAUAAUAAUCAUAAUUAUACGUUCGCGAUUUUAGUGAGGAGCUUUGGUCCAUAACACGAAAAUAGAAAAAGGGACGCAGACACAUUUUUACUAAAAGUAAUUGUAUAUUAUUGUUUGAAUUUUUGUUUAUUUACGUAAUAUACAUUUUUAUUGAAAUAUCCUAGAACUAUGAAG